This 131-nucleotide small nucleolar RNA is filed under the name Lates calcarifer (barramundi perch). RNAcentral's name for it is "Small nucleolar RNA ACA64 (ENSLCAG00010014790.1)". It matches the Rfam family "Small nucleolar RNA ACA64". Lineage: Eukaryota; Metazoa; Chordata; Actinopteri; Centropomidae. The record is from Rfam by way of RNAcentral.
GCAGACUGAAAAUGACCCCAAAUGUAUCAGUGGUCUGGGGUCAGAUAACUGUGCCUAUAGUACUGUGGUGCGUAAAGCUUAUCGCGUGUGUCUCUUGGUGGCUGCGUGAUAAAACCCAUGCACCAACAUAC